AUCUAUGGCCAUGCCACUCUGAACAAGCCCGAUCCCAUCCGAUCUUGGAAGCUAGGUAGGGUCGGGCCUGGUUAGCACUUAGAUGUGAAAAAAUAAAAUGAGAAAAAAUAAAAAAUAAGGGAUUGUAAGCC
This 131-nucleotide ribosomal RNA is filed under the name Pteropus alecto (black flying fox). The record is from RNAcentral. Lineage: Eukaryota; Metazoa; Chordata; Mammalia; Chiroptera; Pteropodidae. RNAcentral also lists the same sequence under 1 other name.